RNAcentral lists this ribosomal RNA (438 nucleotides) under Lactiplantibacillus plantarum. RNAcentral's name for it is "bacterial SSU rRNA". It matches the Rfam family "Bacterial small subunit ribosomal RNA", at positions 14 to 430 of the family's 1533-position model. Lineage: Bacteria; Bacillati; Bacillota; Bacilli; Lactobacillales; Lactobacillaceae. The record is from RNAcentral.
UGAUCUUGGCUCAGGACGAACGCUGGCGGCGUGCCUAAUACAUGAAAGUGGAACGAACUCUGGUAUUGAUUGGUGGUUGCAUCAUGAUUUAGAUUUGAGUGAGUGGGGAACUGGUGAGUAAGAGGUGGGAAACGUGGGGAGAAGGGGGGGAUAAGACGUGGAAAGAGAUGGUAAUACGGGAUAACAAGUUGGACGGCAUGGUCGGAGUUUGAAAGAUGGGUUUGGCUAUGACUUUUGGAUGGUCGCGGGGGGUAUUAGCUAGAUGGUGGGGUAAGGGCUCAGCAUGGCAAUGAUACGUAGCUGACGUGAGAGGGUAAUCGGCGACAUUGGGACUGAGACACGGGCGAAAUUCUAGGGGAGGGAGCAGUAGUGAAUUUCCAAAUGGAGAAAGUCUGAUGGAGAAGGCCGCUGAUUUAAGAAUGGUUUCGUCUCGUUUUU